GACGAACGCUGGCGGCGUGCUUAACACAUGCAAGUCGAACGGAAAGGCCCUGCUUUUGUGGGGUGCUCGAGUGGCGAACGGGUUAGUAACACGUGAGUAACCUGCCCCUGACUUUGGGAUAACUUCAGGAAACUGGGGCUAAUACCGGAUAGGAGCUCCUGCUGCAUGGUGGGGGUUGGAAAGUUUCGGCGGUUGGGGAUGGACUCGCGGCUUAUCAGCUUGUUGGUGGGGUAGUGGCUUACCAAGGCUUAGACGGGUAGCCGGCCUGAGAGGGGGACCGGGCUCAAGACUACUGAGGUACGCACCAGUCUCGUACGGGACGCAGCGGGGGGGAGUAUGACGCAGUGGGCCGGCGCCUGAUGUGGCGGCGCCGCGUGCGGAAAGACCGCCUUCUGGUUAAAAACCACUUUCGCCUGUAACGAGGCGGGAGUGACGGUAACGGGUAAGAAAGCACCGGCUAACUACGUG
Molecule: ribosomal RNA, 468 nt
Filed under: uncultured bacterium
Lineage: Bacteria
Description: partial 16S ribosomal RNA
Rfam family: Bacterial small subunit ribosomal RNA
Source: RNAcentral